This is a long non-coding RNA of Drosophila ananassae, 332 nucleotides long. RefSeq lists it as uncharacterized. Lineage: Eukaryota; Metazoa; Arthropoda; Insecta; Diptera; Drosophilidae. The record is from RefSeq and is a predicted model, not a curated record. The transcript is spliced from 2 exons.
CUUUAUUUCAAUUUAAUAAUAUUCAAUAGUUUUGUUUAAAAAAUCAUAUUAAAUCCACUUCUACAUUCAUUUCUUUUAAAGUAACUUACAGAGCACAAAAAGGAAUUUUGCUCCCCGUUACCCUGCCAUUGAUUUGCCUGUUAGUUUUAAGUAUGCCAAGCGAAAGGCGAAGCCAAGUCAAGCAUCCUUGAAUGGCAAGUCUACCAGGACGAAAGGAGAUCUGCGCGGUGGCAUGUCUCGAGUGCUAAAAUGGAUUGCUAGAUGUCAUCGGCUCAAAAAUUCCAUGCCACGGUAUAAUUGGUUUGAUAAUAUAUACAGGGAUUGAUUUUCAA